UUCCAGGUAGCUUAAUGGUAAAGCACCCAACCGGCAAUUGGGAGAUCUGGGUUCAAGUCCCAGCCCGGGCU
Molecule: transfer RNA, 71 nt
Filed under: Strigamia maritima
Lineage: Eukaryota; Metazoa; Arthropoda; Chilopoda; Geophilomorpha; Linotaeniidae
Rfam family: tRNA
About the family: Transfer RNA (tRNA) molecules are approximately 80 nucleotides in length.
Source: Rfam by way of RNAcentral